RNAcentral lists this ribosomal RNA (449 nucleotides) under uncultured bacterium. RNAcentral describes it as "partial 16S ribosomal RNA". It matches the Rfam family "Bacterial small subunit ribosomal RNA", at positions 29 to 523 of the family's 1533-position model. The record is from RNAcentral.
AACGAACGCUGGCGGCAUGCCUAACACAUGCAAGUCGAACGAGACCUUCGGGUCUAGUGGCGCACGGGUGCGUAACGCGUGGGAAUCUACCCUUGGGUUCGGAAUAACAGUUAGAAAUGACUGCUAAUACCGGAUGAUGACGUAAGUCCAAAGAUUUAUCGCCCAAGGAUGAGCCCGCGUAAGAUUAGCUUGGUGGUGGGGUAAUGUGCUACCAAGGCGACGAUCUUUAGCUGGUCUGAGAGGAUGAUCAGCAACACUGGGACUGAGACACGGACGUGACUCCUACGGGAGGGAGCAGUGGGGAAUAUGGGAAAAUGGGAGAAAGCGUGAUCCAGCAAUGCCGCGUGAGUGAUGAAGGCGUUAGGGUUGUAAAGCUCGUUUACCAGGGAUGAUAAUGACAGUACCUGGAGAAUAAGAUACGGCUAACUCCGUGCCAGCCGCCGCAGUAA